RNAcentral lists this ribosomal RNA (253 nucleotides) under uncultured bacterium. RNAcentral's name for it is "partial 16S ribosomal RNA". It matches the Rfam family "Bacterial small subunit ribosomal RNA", at positions 524 to 776 of the family's 1533-position model. The record is from RNAcentral.
UACGUAGGGUGCGAGCGUUGUCCGGAAUUAUUGGGCGUAAAGGGCUCGUAGGCGGUUUGUCGCGUCGGGAGUGAAAUCCACUGGCUUAACUGGUGGCUUGCUUUCGAUACGGGCAGACUGGAGGUAUGCAGGGGAGAACGGAAUUCCUGGUGGAGCGGUGAAAUGCGCAGAUAUCAGGAGGAACACCGGUGGCGAAGGCGGGUCUCUGGGCCGAUACUGACGCUGAGGAGCGAAAGCGUGGGGAGCGAACAGG